This 446-nucleotide ribosomal RNA is filed under the name uncultured bacterium. RNAcentral describes it as "bacterial SSU rRNA". It matches the Rfam family "Bacterial small subunit ribosomal RNA", at positions 29 to 507 of the family's 1533-position model. The record is from RNAcentral.
AACAAACGCUGGCGGCGUGCCUAACACAUGCAAGUCGUACGAGAAAGUCGGCUUCGGCCGGUGAGUAAAGUGGCGCACGGGUGAGUAACGCGUGGGAAUCUGCCCUUCGGUUCGGAACAACAGUUAGAAAUGACUGCUAAUACCGGAUAAUGACGUAAGUCCAAAGAUUUAUCGCCGAAGGAUGAGCCCGCGUAAGAUUAGGUAGUUGGUGGGGUAAUGGCCUACCAAGCCGACGAUCUUUAGCUGGUCUGAGAGGAUGAUCAGCCACACUGGGACUGAGACACGGCCCAGACUCCUACGGGAGGCAGCAGUGGGGAAUAUUGGACAAUGGGCGAAAGCCUGAUCCAGCAAUGCCGCGUGAGUGAUGAAGGCCUUAGGGUUGUAAAGCUCUUUUACCAGGGAUGAUAAUGACAGUACCUGGAGAAUAAGCUCCGGCUAACUCCGUG